RNAcentral lists this long non-coding RNA (210 nucleotides) under Capsicum annuum. Its description in RNAcentral is "long non-coding RNA (CANN_LNC010047)". Lineage: Eukaryota; Viridiplantae; Streptophyta; Magnoliopsida; Solanales; Solanaceae. The record is from RNAcentral.
AGAUGAACCAUCUAAUAUAACAGAUAAAACAUCUAAUGCAAUAGAUUGACAUCUGAUACAACAGAUUAAAUAUCUGAUACAACAUACUAAAUAUCUGAUGUAACAAAUGCAAAUAUGAUGCAUCAGAUGAAAAUCUAAUAAAACAAAUAAAAAUUUGGUGCAAUAAUGAAAAUCUGAUGCAACAGAUAAACAAUCUAACAGAUUAUUCAU